UACGAAGGGGGCUAGCGUUGUUCGGAAUUACUGGGCGUAAAGCGCACGUAGGCGGAUCGAUCAGUCAGGGGUGAAAUCCCAGGGCUCAACCCUGGAACUGCCUUCGAUACUGGCGAUCUUCGAGUCCGGGAGAGGUGAGUGGAACUCCGAGUGUAGAGGUGAAAUUCGUAGAUAUUCGGAAGAACACCAGUGGCGAAGGCGGCUCACUGGCCCGGUACUGACGCUGAGGUGCGAAAGCGUGGGGAGCAAACAGG
This 254-nucleotide ribosomal RNA is filed under the name uncultured bacterium. RNAcentral describes it as "partial 16S ribosomal RNA". It matches the Rfam family "Bacterial small subunit ribosomal RNA", at positions 524 to 776 of the family's 1533-position model. The record is from RNAcentral.